GCCUAAUACAAUAGGAAAUAAUGCUUUCUGCACAAAGAAGAAAGUAUAUAAAACUUCUGAAGGCAAGAGUCAAGUAAAAAAAAAAUAAAUAAAUAAAAUACUGGAGGAGUUAUUCAAUGCCUUUAAAGUAAUUUCAACAACAGGAAAUAACUGGUAGCAAGUUGAACAUCUAGGAGGAAUGCCUUCUCUGUUUCAUUAGAAGCGUUGAGUGGAGCAAACAGCUAAGCCCUUUUCUCUCUACUCCAUGGGUGAGCCACCGCCACCUCCAAUCAACAACCAUCACCACCCGCCACCCAAGCCACUGGACUCACCCACCACCGGAAUCCUCUCACUGCCUUCUACAACCUCCCACCAACGCUCGCCCAAAAUUUUGCCGGAAACAGCUCCAAUCUUCAAAAACCACCCACCCUUACCACAAAACAACCCUCCCCCACAACCCAAGCCGCCGGUCGCCACCACCAUAGGCGACGGCAAGCCCUUCACUUCACUCCCCCCAUCCCACCUGGCCUCACGCCACUCAAAAUAGCCAUGGCCUCCAUCUAAACUGCGGUCGACCUCCCAAGCGCCGCCCAUAUUUCCGGCCGCACCCAUUCUUCAAAUCAUCCACCAAAUAUCUCCACUCCCCUAGCCGGCGACUCUUAUGGACUAUUAUCAACUAAUUCAGCCAAGAUUCUCAAUGUUCAGAACGCAGGUACUUUCCAGACGGGAUUGUGUGAUAAUGCUGAUUCAAUUGGUGAUCCUCAUGUCUUGUAAGUGGAUAAUUCAACACCCAAUCAUUCAAUUGAGGGUGAAUUGGGACAAUUGAAACCAAAAACAUGUGCUAAGGUGUUAAAUGGGUCUCAAAUAAAUGACGUAGACUUAGAUUCA
Molecule: long non-coding RNA, 867 nt
Filed under: Olea europaea subsp. europaea
Lineage: Eukaryota; Viridiplantae; Streptophyta; Magnoliopsida; Lamiales; Oleaceae
Source: RNAcentral